CUUGAGGGAAGGAUCUCUCCGAGGCGGGUAGGGUUGGCGCUCGGGUGCCCCGGCCCGGGAGCCCGCGGCCAUCUCCCGGGUCGGACCCGUCUGUCUCACUGCGGCAGAAGAGCGGGGACUGUAAACCUUGGAGGCUCGGCCUGACGGAAACCCUCAUUCAUUCUUUCAUUCAUUUAUUCGCAUCACCAUUUAGUUACUGUUGUUGGCGCUCGGAAUGCUACAGAGAACAAAAAAGGAAAUCUCUGUCUCCUUGGAAUUUAACAUUCAUAUGGAAGAGAAAGAAACAAGUCAAUCACGCUACCGGGUGCUGAUGACAGAUGUGAACACAAUAAAACAAGAAAAUGUGCUGGAGGCAGCCUGGAGAGCUCAAGGAAGGCCUUCCGGAGCAGAUCAGAACGUGAGGACCCUGAUUUUGUUUCAUUCUCUACUGCAUCCUGCAUGUAGCACAGUGCCUGGUGGCCCAUGGAUGCUCAAUAAUUGCUGAAACGAUGCACGAAUAGCAGAUGUGCAUUGCGCACCUGCUGGGCCUUGGCAGAUGCACAGAUGACUCUGUGGAGUUUCCUGCAAUCCAGCAGCAAGACAGACAGGAAACCCAGGACAGUGAGGGGUCAAACGCAGAACAUUGUGCUUGCAAGAUAGGUACGGCGCCACUGAGCUAAAUCCCCGGCCCUCUCCCACGGUUUCUAAAUUUCAAAACGUAUCUGCCUCCACAAAGGAUUUGGACGAGGGGUGGUAGUCCAGCAGGAACACCGAUGCCGUGAACAUCCGUGCCAGAUGUGUUUUCUAAAGACUGACACUAACUCCCAAUCCCAUGCCUUUUGAGAACCUUCCAGAAUUCCCCUCCUUUUGUAUCUGGUUAGGAUUGUGAAACCCUUGUAACCAGUAAAAAGAAGUGAAAAAAAACAUUGCACACAUCCUGAGGAAUUGCAGCUUCUGACUUGUUCGUUGAGACACAUACCUUCAGCACCUUGAGCCACCCUUCUAGACUGAAACACAAACCCUGUGGAGAGGCCCCAGAUAGGUGCCGGGUCAACAGUUCUAGCUGAGUCCUAGCUUAACAGUCAGUAUCAACCACAGGGCAGGGGAGAGGUCAGACCUUGAGAUAGCCCAGCCCCCUGCUGUGCAGGUGUCCUCUGAGCUGCGGCCCCAGACAGGCUGUCCCAGAGGACCCUUUCCAAGUGUUUCAGCUAUGUCUAGAUGCCCCCCCCAAAGCCUCAUUCAGUCAUAGGUGGGGUUUUUUCAGA
This is a long non-coding RNA of Fukomys damarensis (Damara mole-rat), 1244 nucleotides long. RefSeq lists it as uncharacterized. The record is from RefSeq and is a predicted model, not a curated record. The transcript has 3 exons. NCBI's taxonomy places the organism in Eukaryota, Metazoa, Chordata, Mammalia, Rodentia, Bathyergidae.